This 846-nucleotide ribosomal RNA is filed under the name uncultured Actinomycetes bacterium. Its description in RNAcentral is "bacterial SSU rRNA". It matches the Rfam family "Bacterial small subunit ribosomal RNA", at positions 56 to 918 of the family's 1533-position model. Lineage: Bacteria; Bacillati; Actinomycetota; Actinomycetes. The record is from RNAcentral.
UGCAAGUCGAGCGGUAAGGCCCUUUCGGGGGUACACGAGCGGCGAACGGGUGAGUAACACGUGGGUGACCUGCCUUCAGCUCUGGGAUAAGCCUGGGAAACUGGGUCUAAUACCGGAUAUGAUUCCAUGAUGCAUGUUGUGGGGUGGAAAGCUUUUGCGGCUGGAGAUGGGCCCGCGGCCUAUCAGCUUGUUGGUGGGGUGAUGGCCUACCAAGGCGACGACGGGUAGCCGGCCUGAGAGGGCGACCGGCCACACUGGGACUGAGACACGGCCCAGACUCCUACGGGAGGCAGCAGUGGGGAAUCUUGCGCAAUGGGCGAAAGCCUGACGCAGCGACGCCGCGUGGGGGAUGACGGCCUUCGGGUUGUAAACCUCUUUCAGCCCUGACGAAGCGAAAGUGACGGUAGGGGCAGAAGAAGCCCCGGCCAACUACGUGCCAGCAGCCGCGGUGAUACGUAGGGGGCGAGCGUUGUCCGGAUUCAUUGGGCGUAAAGAGCUCGUAGGCGGUUCGGUUAGUCAGACGUGAAAACUCCGGGCUCAACUCCGAGAGGGCAUCUGAUACUGCCAUGACUGAAUUUCGGUAGAGAAAUGGGGAAUUCUCGGUGUACCGGUGAAAUGCCCAAAUAUCGGAAGAAACACCAUCGCCAAAGGCGGUCUCCGGGGCCAAUACUGACCCUAAGGAGCAAAGCCUUGGGAACCGAACGGAAUUAGAUACCCUGGUAGUCCACCCCUCAACCUAUGAAUACUAGGGGUCGGAUGGGUUACCCCCGGUGCCUGAGCUAACUCAUUCAGUAUUCGGCCCGGCAAGUACGGCCGGACGGAAGAAACUCACUUGAAUUGACUGAC